AGCGAACGUUAGCGGCGGGCCUAACACAUGCAAGUCGAACGAGAAUGAGGGGGCAACUCCUCUAGUAAAGUGGCGGACGGGUGCGUAACACGUUGGUAAUCUACCUCCCGGCGGGGGACAACAGUCCGAAAGGAUUGCUAAUACCGCAUAAGUCGACGAGGUCUCCGGAUCUUGUCGGGAAAGACGGCCUCUCCUUGGAAGCUGUCACCGGAAGAUGAACCUGCGGCCCAUCAGCUAGUUGGGAGGUAACGGCUCACCAAGGCAAAGACGGGUAGCUGGUCUGAGAGGAUGAUCAGCCACACUGGGACUGCGACACGGCCCAGACUCCUACGGGAGGCAGCAGUGGGGAAUAUUGCGCAAUGGGCGGAAGCCUGACGCAGCGACGCCGCGUGAGGGGAUGACGGUCUUCGGAUUAGUAAACCUCUUUCAGCAGGGACGAAGCGCAAGUGACGGUACCUGCAGAAGAAGCACCGGCCAACUACGUGCCAGCCGCCGCUGUAA
This 501-nucleotide ribosomal RNA is filed under the name uncultured bacterium. RNAcentral describes it as "bacterial SSU rRNA". It matches the Rfam family "Bacterial small subunit ribosomal RNA", at positions 29 to 523 of the family's 1533-position model. The record is from RNAcentral.